RNAcentral lists this ribosomal RNA (1550 nucleotides) under Enterobacter sp. T2. Its description in RNAcentral is "bacterial SSU rRNA". It matches the Rfam family "Bacterial small subunit ribosomal RNA". Lineage: Bacteria; Pseudomonadati; Pseudomonadota; Gammaproteobacteria; Enterobacterales; Enterobacteriaceae. The record is from RNAcentral.
AAAUUGAAGAGUUUGAUCAUGGCUCAGAUUGAACGCUGGCGGCAGGCCUAACACAUGCAAGUCGAACGGUAGCACAGAGAGCUUGCUCUCGGGUGACGAGUGGCGGACGGGUGAGUAAUGUCUGGGAAACUGCCUGAUGGAGGGGGAUAACUACUGGAAACGGUAGCUAAUACCGCAUAACGUCGCAAGACCAAAGAGGGGGACCUUCGGGCCUCUUGCCAUCAGAUGUGCCCAGAUGGGAUUAGCUAGUAGGUGGGGUAACGGCUCACCUAGGCGACGAUCCCUAGCUGGUCUGAGAGGAUGACCAGCCACACUGGAACUGAGACACGGUCCAGACUCCUACGGGAGGCAGCAGUGGGGAAUAUUGCACAAUGGGCGCAAGCCUGAUGCAGCCAUGCCGCGUGUAUGAAGAAGGCCUUCGGGUUGUAAAGUACUUUCAGCGGGGAGGAAGGUGUUGUGGUUAAUAACCACAACAAUUGACGUUACCCGCAGAAGAAGCACCGGCUAACUCCGUGCCAGCAGCCGCGGUAAUACGGAGGGUGCAAGCGUUAAUCGGAAUUACUGGGCGUAAAGCGCACGCAGGCGGUCUGUCAAGUCGGAUGUGAAAUCCCCGGGCUCAACCUGGGAACUGCAUUCGAAACUGGCAGGCUAGAGUCUUGUAGAGGGGGGUAGAAUUCCAGGUGUAGCGGUGAAAUGCGUAGAGAUCUGGAGGAAUACCGGUGGCGAAGGCGGCCCCCUGGACAAAGACUGACGCUCAGGUGCGAAAGCGUGGGGAGCAAACAGGAUUAGAUACCCUGGUAGUCCACGCCGUAAACGAUGUCGACUUGGAGGUUGUGCCCUUGAGGCGUGGCUUCCGGAGCUAACGCGUUAAGUCGACCGCCUGGGGAGUACGGCCGCAAGGUUAAAACUCAAAUGAAUUGACGGGGGCCCGCACAAGCGGUGGAGCAUGUGGUUUAAUUCGAUGCAACGCGAAGAACCUUACCUACUCUUGACAUCCAGAGAACUUAGCAGAGAUGCUUUGGUGCCUUCGGGAACUCUGAGACAGGUGCUGCAUGGCUGUCGUCAGCUCGUGUUGUGAAAUGUUGGGUUAAGUCCCGCAACGAGCGCAACCCUUAUCCUUUGUUGCCAGCGGUCCGGCCGGGAACUCAAAGGAGACUGCCAGUGAUAAACUGGAGGAAGGUGGGGAUGACGUCAAGUCAUCAUGGCCCUUACGAGUAGGGCUACACACGUGCUACAAUGGCGCAUACAAAGAGAAGCGACCUCGCGAGAGCAAGCGGACCUCAUAAAGUGCGUCGUAGUCCGGAUUGGAGUCUGCAACUCGACUCCAUGAAGUCGGAAUCGCUAGUAAUCGUAGAUCAGAAUGCUACGGUGAAUACGUUCCCGGGCCUUGUACACACCGCCCGUCACACCAUGGGAGUGGGUUGCAAAAGAAGUAGGUAGCUUAACCUUCGGGAGGGCGCUUACCACUUUGUGAUUCAUGACUGGGGUGAAGUCGUAACAAGGUAACCGUAGGGGAACCUGCGGUUGGAUCACCUCCUUACCUUAAAGAA